RNAcentral lists this long non-coding RNA (186 nucleotides) under Acyrthosiphon pisum (pea aphid). RNAcentral describes it as "uncharacterized LOC115034617". The record is from RNAcentral. Lineage: Eukaryota; Metazoa; Arthropoda; Insecta; Hemiptera; Aphididae.
CAAUCGACAUUCAAUAAUUAUUAAUUUAAAUACAUACUAAUUUUAUAUUAAGUAAAAAAAACCAGUUUAAUUCUUAUUCAAUUUGUGUUUGUGACAAUUCAUUUUACAACUAAUCAAAUAAUAUGUGUUGUAACGAUCAAAAUCAAACCGUCGUUAAUCACAUUCACAGUUUACGUUUAUUAAAGU